AUUCUUUGUUCGGCAUUAUUCUCCCCGUUCUGUUUGGUAUCCCGCUCCUCUCUCGCUCUUACUCCAUAAUAUUCUCCGCCUCUCCGUUUCUUUAUUCACCUGUCAUUGAUUUGCUAAUGGGGUGAGUGAUUGUCGUUCCAACCAUUUCUCCUCACUCUAUGAGCCAUCUCCGCAAUCACCAUUGUUUGAACUGACUAGAAUCAUCUCUCCCUCGAUAUCUCUUUCAACGUUUACACAAAAUAAACAAUGCUCAACUUCCCGCCGGCGAUAGCUUUGUUCGUGUAGAUCCCAUCGCCACCGUGGAGGUCGCUCUAGAAGUCUGGAUCUGUUUCCUUUGACGCACACUCUUAGCAGUUCGUUUGAAUUUAGUGAUAUGGAGUUUGGCGGGUCCUUAUGAGUGGCUUAGUUAUAAAGAGGUGUAUGAUUCAACGCUUCAAAUCGGCUCAGCUAUUAGGAAAUGUGGAGUUAAUCCCGCUUCUCGAUCUUUCUCCUCUACUUUCGGCUUCGUAAGUAUGAAAGGAUUUUUCCAAAGAAGAAGCCACUAAUUUCGAAGG
Long non-coding RNA from Spinacia oleracea (spinach), 554 nucleotides. RefSeq lists it as uncharacterized. The record is from RefSeq and is a predicted model, not a curated record. Lineage: Eukaryota; Viridiplantae; Streptophyta; Magnoliopsida; Caryophyllales; Amaranthaceae. The transcript is spliced from 3 exons.